AUAUCAGUCAUGCAUAGCAUAUCAAUAAGCGGAGGAAAAGAAACUAACAAGGAUUCCCUUAGUAACGGCGAGUGAAGCGGGAAGAGCUCAAAUUUGAAAUCUUCAAGGUUUUACCUUGACGAAUUGUAGUUUAAAGAAGUGUUUUCUGUUGAAGUUUUGGUAAAAGUUCUUUGGAAUAGGACAUCAUAGAGGGUGAGAAUCCCGUAUUUGACCAUUACUUUCAGCUUUGUGAUACACUUCCAAAGAGUCGGAUUGUUUGGGAAUGCAGUCCAAAAUGGGUGGUAAAUUUCAUCUAAAGCUAAAUAUUGGCGAGAGACCGAUAGCGAACAAGUACCGUGAGGGAAAGAUGAAAAGAACUUUGAAAAGAGAGUUAAACAGUACGUGAAAUUGUCAAAAGGGAAGCGUUUGACACCAGUGUUGUUUUCUCGAAAAUCAAUUAAAAAGAGUUGGAUUCUGUGUUGUAUUGACUUUAUCAGCUUUCUUCACUCUUUUCCAGCUUUUUUUAAUGCACUUUUCGUUUAACAAGUCAACAUCAGUUUCUUUUGUUGUAAAAAGGUCAUUGGAAGGUGGCUUUCUCUUCGGAGAAAGUGUUUAUAGCCUUUGACUCAUGCAAUCGGAGAGACUGAGGUCUGCAGCGUAGAUCCUUCGGGGUUAGAUACAUUUGUGCUAAGUUAUAGCUUUUCAUAGACAACUUGUUGACUAUGUUUAGUCUUGUAGCUUACUCGCUUAUGCUAUUUUACCUACGCUUAGGAUGUUGAACUCUAUCACACACAG
This 774-nucleotide ribosomal RNA is filed under the name uncultured Neocallimastigales. RNAcentral describes it as "partial large subunit ribosomal RNA". It matches the Rfam family "Eukaryotic large subunit ribosomal RNA", at positions 22 to 628 of the family's 3401-position model. Lineage: Eukaryota; Fungi; Neocallimastigomycota; Neocallimastigomycetes; Neocallimastigales. The record is from RNAcentral.